This 912-nucleotide ribosomal RNA is filed under the name Lactiplantibacillus plantarum. RNAcentral's name for it is "bacterial SSU rRNA". It matches the Rfam family "Bacterial small subunit ribosomal RNA", at positions 1 to 878 of the family's 1533-position model. The record is from RNAcentral. Lineage: Bacteria; Bacillati; Bacillota; Bacilli; Lactobacillales; Lactobacillaceae.
AUAAAGUUUUUUUUUUUUUCUGCUCAGGACGAACGCUGGCGGCGUGCUAAUACAUGCAAGUCGAACGAACUCUGGUAUUGAUUGGUGCUUGCAUCAUGAUUUACAUUUGAGUGAGUGGCGAACUGGUGAGUAACACGUGGGAAACCUGCCCAGAAGCGGGGGAUAACACCUGGAAACAGAUGCUAAUACCGCAUAACAACUUGGACCGCAUGGUCCGAGCUUGAAAGAUGGCUUCGGCUAUCACUUUUGGAUGGUCCCGCGGCGUAUUAGCUAGAUGGUGGGGUAACGGCUCACCAUGGCAAUGAUACGUAGCCGACCUGAGAGGGUAAUCGGCCACAUUGGGACUGAGACACGGCCCAAACUCCUACGGGAGGCAGCAGUAGGGAAUCUUCCACAAUGGACGAAAGUCUGAUGGAGCAACGCCGCGUGAGUGAAGAAGGGUUUCGGCUCGUAAAACUCUGUUGUUAAAGAAGAACAUAUCUGAGAGUAACUGUUCAGGUAUUGACGGUAUUUAACCAGAAAGCCACGGCUAACUACGUGCCAGCAGCCGCGGUAAUACGUAGGUGGCAAGCGUUGUCCGGAUUUAUUGGGCGUAAAGCGAGCGCAGGCGGUUUUUUAAGUCUGAUGUGAAAGCCUUCGGCUCAACCGAAGAAGUGCAUCGGAAACUGGGAAACUUGAGUGCAGAAGAGGACAGUGGAACUCCAUGUGUAGCGGUGAAAUGCGUAGAUAUAUGGAAGAACACCAGUGGCGAAGGCGGCUGUCUGGUCUGUAACUGACGCUGAGGCUCGAAAGUAUGGGUAGCAAACAGGAUUAGAUACCCUGGUAGUCCAUACCGUAAACGAUGAAUGCUAAGUGUUGGAGGGUUUCCGCCCUUCAGUGCUGCAGCUAACGCAUUAAGCAUCCCCCCCCCGG